AACGAACGCUGGCGGCAUGCCUAACACAUGCAAGUCGAACGAGACCUUCGGGUCUAGUGGCGCACGGGUGCGUAACGCGUGGGAACCUGCCCUUAGGUUCGGAAUAACUCCCCGAAAGGGGUGCUAAUACCGGAUAAUGUCUUCGGACCAAAGAUUUAUCGCCUUUGGAUGGGCCCGCGUUGGAUUAGCUAGUUGGUAGGGUAAAAGCCUACCAAGGCGACGAUCCAUAGCUGGUCUGAGAGGAUGAUCAGCCACACUGGGGCUGAGACACGGCCCAGACUCCUACGGGAAGCAGCAGUGGGGGAUAUUGGACAAUGGGCGAAAGCCUGAUCCAGCAAUGCCGCGUGAGUGAUGAAGGCCUUAGGGUUGUAAAGCUCUUUUAACCGGGAUGAUAAUGACAGUACCGAGAGAAUAAGCCCCGGCUAACUCCGUG
This 433-nucleotide ribosomal RNA is filed under the name uncultured bacterium. RNAcentral describes it as "partial 16S ribosomal RNA". It matches the Rfam family "Bacterial small subunit ribosomal RNA", at positions 29 to 507 of the family's 1533-position model. The record is from RNAcentral.